This is a non-coding RNA of Dipodomys ordii (Ord's kangaroo rat), 72 nucleotides long. Lineage: Eukaryota; Metazoa; Chordata; Mammalia; Rodentia; Heteromyidae. The record is from Rfam.
GGGAUGUUGGCUCAGUGGUAGAGCGCUUGCUUUGCAUGCCUGAGGCCCUGGGUUUGAUUCCUCAACACCACA